Zonotrichia leucophrys gambelii is the source of this 1065-nucleotide long non-coding RNA. RefSeq lists it as uncharacterized. Lineage: Eukaryota; Metazoa; Chordata; Aves; Passeriformes; Passerellidae. The record is from RefSeq and is a predicted model, not a curated record. The transcript is spliced from 5 exons.
AUAUUUUAAUGAAAAGUGAAUUCAAAUGAUAUUCUAUCCAAUACUUAAUCUUAGCACUUCAAGCACAAAUUUGAGAUAAAGAAAAAGUUGAAAAGCUGUCAGUAUUUGCCAUCUCUCUUAGAAAUCCAAAAAGAACAUAUUGGUUAUCAGGAAAUGGAUGAAUCAGUGCCCUCCAGAGGCAGAGCUCAGUUGGGGAAAAAUUUCAAGAUAUGGAGAACAGAUAUCAAUGAACAUAAACAAUACUGCUGUGAGAAGAGAGAGCUGGGACUACUCAAGGCUCACAUGAAUUCCUACAGGAGAGGUUGGCUUGUGUCAUCUGUUACAUGAAUGAAACUAUGAAUUUCAAACAACACUUCCAGCAUCUGGGCUUCGUGCGGAUGUGUGACAUCUGAGCUAGAUCCUGGUAACUGAAGCAGUGCAAACUCAUGGAUUGUCUUUGCUGCAUGUUUAUUGUGUGAACUUCCAGUCUGCCCAUCUGCAAAACCACCAGGAGCUCAGCUGGGAGGAAUAAAAGCUAAGGGAAGAGCUGUAGUAAAUUGAUCAGAGGUACCCUGAACCAGCCUCAGGGAAGCACAGUACAGCAUGACAGAGACACAACCUUCUGAAGAGAGCAGAGUAAUCCACCUUGGGUGAGGCCAUGGACAGGCCAGAUCUCAUGGAAUUAACCUCAGAAAGAAUUCCAGCCACUCUCUGUCUCUCCCAUUGCGCUUUUGAAGGCGCAGGAGUUAGACAGCAAUGCCUCCACAGUACAUUUGGCUGUAGAAGGUGCCCUUGGCUGAACAGCUAGAUAGAAUAUGCUUUUAUUCUGUUUUGUUGGGUUUUGGGAGGUUUUUGUUAAAACCUCUUGAAAGAUCAUGAAAAGAUGGGGAAAACUGCAUGAGAGCAGCAACUUUGUUCCAUGUGGAAAAAGAAGGGUCAAGAUAAAAAAGAUAUCUCUAUAGAAUUAACACUAAAAGUAAUGCUGGGGGGUUCCCCUUUGGCCAGUUAACUUGCACCUUCUCUUGAAAAAUAAUGUUAUACAAUAUCAACUGCAUCCUAAAUAGCAAUUGUUGUGAUAGGCACUAU